GACGAACGCUGGCGGCGUGCUUAACACAUGCAAGUCGAACGGAAAGGCCCUGCUUUUGUGGGGUGCUCGUGUGGCGAACGGGUGAGUAACACGUGAGUAACCUGCCCUUGACUUUGGGAUAACUUCAGGAAACUGGGGCUAAUACCGGAUAGGAGCUCCUGCUGCAUGGUGGGGGUUGGAAAGUUUCGGCGGUUGGGGAUGGACUCGCGGCUUAUCAGCUUGUUGGUGGGGUAGUGGCUUACCAAGGCUUUGACGGGUAGCCGGCCUGAGAGGGUGACCGGCCACAUUGGGACUGAGAUACGGCCCAGACUCCUACGGGAGGCAGCAGUGGGGAAUAUUGCACAAUGGGCGGAAGCCUGAUGCAGCAACGCCGCGUGCGGGAUGACGGCCUUCGGGUGGUAAACCGCUUUCGCCUGUGACGAAGCGUGAGUGACGGUAAUGGGUAAAGAAGCACCGGCUAACUACGU
Molecule: ribosomal RNA, 467 nt
Filed under: uncultured bacterium
Lineage: Bacteria
Description: partial 16S ribosomal RNA
Rfam family: Bacterial small subunit ribosomal RNA
Source: RNAcentral